UAGCUAGUUGGUAGGGUAAAGGCCUACCAAGGCGACGAUCGGUAGCUGGUCUGAGAGGAUGGCCAGCCACACUGGAACUGAGACACGGUCCAGACUCCUACGGGAGGCAGCAGUGGGGAAUAUUGGACAAUGGGGGAACCCUGAUCCAGCAAUGCCGCGUGUGUGAAGAAGGCCUGAGGGUUGUAAAGCACUUUUAGUGGGGAGGAGUUAUUAUAGGUUAAGAGCUAAUAAUGAGGACGUUACCCACAGAAAAAGCACCGGCUAACUCCGUGCCAGCAGCCGCGGUAAUACGGAGGGUGCAAGCGUUAAUCGGAAUUACUGGGCGUAAAGCGUGCGUAGGUUGUUUAUUAAGUUAACUGUGAAAUACCUGGGCUCAACCUGGGCAGGUCAGUUAAUACUGAUAGACUCGAGUAUAGGAGAGGGUAGUGGAAUUUCCGGUGUAGCGGUGAAAUGCGUAGAGAUCGGAAGGAACACCAGUGGCGAAGGCGGCUACCUGGCCUAAUACUGACACUGAGGCACGAAAGCGUGGGGAGCAAACGGGAUUAGAUACCCUGGUAGUCCACGCUGUAAACGAUGUCAACUAGCUGUUGGGUGUAUGAAUGCACUUAGUGGCGC
RNAcentral lists this ribosomal RNA (615 nucleotides) under uncultured Legionella sp. RNAcentral's name for it is "bacterial SSU rRNA". It matches the Rfam family "Bacterial small subunit ribosomal RNA", at positions 242 to 849 of the family's 1533-position model. Lineage: Bacteria; Pseudomonadati; Pseudomonadota; Gammaproteobacteria; Legionellales; Legionellaceae. The record is from RNAcentral.